This 915-nucleotide small RNA is filed under the name Pan troglodytes (chimpanzee). RNAcentral describes it as "processed transcript". The record is from RNAcentral. Lineage: Eukaryota; Metazoa; Chordata; Mammalia; Primates; Hominidae.
UGUUUCUCCACGAGGGGGGGUUAAAGGCCCCCAAAACAUGCACACAUGAAAAGGGCAAAAAGUAACCGUCCUUGACAGGGAGUCUUAACUAGAGAAGGAAACGGGACUAAACUGGCGGGCUCCGUGGAAGCGUGGCCGGCAGCGUCCCGGACGAGGAGAUGUCUUUGGUGGACUUGGGAAAGAGGUUGCUAGAAGCAGCAAGAAAAGGCCAAGAUGAUGAAGUGAGAACGUUGAUGGCAAAUGGCGCCCCAUUCACCACAGACUGGUUUUCCAAAUUGAGAGUCUCCUGUGGAUAUAUAGGUGAUAAUUGUAAGAAUGGUGCAGAUGUGAAUGCCAAGGACAUGCUGAAGAUGACAGCUUUGCAUUGGGCCACAGAGCGUCACCAUCGAGAUGUUGUAGAGUUACUUAUCAAAUAUGGAGCUGAUGUCCAUGCUUUCAGCAAAUUUGAUAAAUCAGCCUUUGACAUAGCUCUGGAGAAAAACAAUGCUGAGAUUUUGGUCAUCCUCCAGGAAGCAAUGCAGAAUCAGGUGAAUGUUAAUCCAGAGAGAGCCAACCCUGUGACUGACCCUGUGAGUAUGGCUGCUCCAUUCAUCUUCACGUCAGGUGAGGUUGUUAACCUCGCAAGCCUUAUUUCUUCAACCAACACCAAAACAACCUCAGGUGACCCCCAUGCCUCAACAGUACAGUUUUCAAAUUCUACCACCUCAGUGCUGGCUACCCUUGCAGCUCUUGCUGAGGCAUCAGUCCCCCUCUCCAACUCACACAGAGCCACAGCCAAUUCAGAGGAAAUUAUAGAAGGAAAUUCCGUUGACUCAUCAAUCCAGCAAGUAAUGGGGAAUGGAGGCCAGAGGGUCAUCACCAUAGUGACUGAUGGAGUCCCUCUGGGUAAUAUCCAAACUUCAAUCCCUACUGGAG